Molecule: ribosomal RNA, 1483 nt
Filed under: uncultured bacterium
Lineage: Bacteria
Description: bacterial SSU rRNA
Rfam family: Bacterial small subunit ribosomal RNA
Source: RNAcentral
AGAGUUUGAUCCUGGCUCAGAAUCAACGCUGGCGGCGUGCCUAACACAUGCAAGUCGAACGAGAAAGCGGGGGCAACCCCGUGAGUACAGUGGCGUACGGGUGAGUAACACGUGACUAACCUACCUUGGAGUGGGGAAUAACCUCGGGAAACCGGGGCUAAUACCGCAUAAGACCACGAGCUGCAAUGCUUGAGGUCAAACGGGUAACUGGCUUUUGGAGGGGGUCGCGGCUGAUUAGCUAGUUGGCAGGGUAACGGCCUACCAAGGCGACGAUCAGUAGCCGGCCUGAGAGGGCGCACGGCCACACUGGAACUGAAACACGGUCCAGACUCCUACGGGAGGCAGCAGUGGGGAAUUUUGCGCAAUGGGGGAAACCCUGACGCAGCAACGCCGCGUGGAGGAUGAAGUCCCUUGGGACGUAAACUCCUUUCGACCGGGACGAUAAUGACGGUACCGGUGGAAGAAGCCCCGGCUAACUCCGUGCCAGCAGCCGCGGUAAUACGGGGGGGGCAAGCGUUGUUCGGAAUUAUUGGGCGUAAAGGGCGCGCAGGCGGUGCGGUAAGUCAUCUGUGAAACUCCGCAGCUCAACUGCGGACCUGCUUCCGAUACUGACGGGCUUGAGUACUCUAGAGGGCAGUGGAAUUCCCGGUGUAGCAGUGAAAUGCGUAGAGAUCGGGAGGAACACCAGUGGCGAAGGCGGCUGCCUGGGGAGAAACUGACGCUGAGGCGCGAAAGCUGGGGGAGCAAACGGGAUUAGAUACCCCGGUAGUCCCAGCCGUAAACGAUGAGUGCUAGGUGUAGGGGGUAUCGACCCCUCCUGUGCCGCAGUUAACGCAAUAAGCACUCCGCCUGGGGAGUACGGCCGCAAGGUUGAAACUCAAAGGAAUUGACGGGGGCCCGCACAAGCAGCGGAGCAUGUGGUUUAAUUCGAAGCAACGCGUAGAACCUUACCAGGGCUUGACAUGUAGCGAAUCCUCUAGAGAUAGGGGAGUGCUCCUUCGGGAGAGCGCUAACACAGGUGGUGCAUGGUUGUCGUCAGCUCGUGUCGUGAGAUGUUGGGUUAAGUCCCGCAACGAGCGCAACCCCUAUCGUAUGUUGCCAGCAGGUAAAGCUGGGCACUCAUGCGAGACUGCCGGUGACAAACCGGAGGAAGGUGGGGAUGACGUCAAAUCAUCAUGCCCCUUAUGUCCUGGGCGACACACGUGCUACAAUGGGCGCCACAAAGCGAACCGAAACCGCGAGGUGGAGGAAACCGCGAAAGGCGCUCGUAGUUCAGAUCGCAGGCUGCAACUCGCCUGCGUGAAGCCGGAGUUGCUAGUAAUCGCUGAUCAGCACGCAGCGGUGAAUACGUUCCCGGGCCUCGUACACACCGCCCGUCACACCAUGGGAGCUGGUAACACCCGAAGUCGGUGCGCUAACACGCAAGUGAGGCAGCCGCCGAAGGUGGGGCCGGUGACUGGGGUGAAGUCGUAACAAGGUAUCC